This 85-nucleotide transfer RNA is filed under the name Zygosaccharomyces bailii. RNAcentral describes it as "transfer RNA-Tyr(GTA)". It matches the Rfam family "tRNA". From Rfam's summary of the family: Transfer RNA (tRNA) molecules are approximately 80 nucleotides in length. Their secondary structure includes four short double-helical elements and three loops (D, anti-codon, and T loops). The record is from RNAcentral. Lineage: Eukaryota; Fungi; Ascomycota; Saccharomycetes; Saccharomycetales; Saccharomycetaceae. RNAcentral also lists the same sequence under 1 other name.
CUCUCGGUAGCCAAGUUGGUUUAAGGCGCCAGACUGUAAUUGAAAAGUAAUCUGGAGAUCGGGCGUUCGACUCGCCCCCGAGAGA